This 26-nucleotide non-coding RNA is filed under the name Cricetulus griseus (Chinese hamster). Lineage: Eukaryota; Metazoa; Chordata; Mammalia; Rodentia; Cricetidae. The record is from RNAcentral.
UUAGCAGUAAGGAUGGUGGGAUUCAA